GACGAACGCUGGCGGCGUGCCUAACACGUGCAAGUCGAACGGGGUAAUCCUUCGGGGUUACUUAGUGGCGAACGGGUGAGUAACGCGUGAGAAACCUGCCUUUCAGUGGGGGACAACAGUUGGAAACGACUGCUAAAACCGCAUAAUGUUAUUUGGGGGCAUCCCUGAAUAACCAAAGCUUUAUGUGCUGAAAGAUGGGCUCAUGUCUGAUUAGCUAGUUGGUGAGGUAACGGCUCACCAAGGCGACGAUCAGUAGCCGGUCUGAGAGGAUGAACGGCCACAUUGGGACCGAGAUACGGCCCAG
RNAcentral lists this ribosomal RNA (304 nucleotides) under uncultured bacterium. RNAcentral's name for it is "bacterial SSU rRNA". It matches the Rfam family "Bacterial small subunit ribosomal RNA", at positions 28 to 334 of the family's 1533-position model. The record is from RNAcentral.